RNAcentral lists this ribosomal RNA (682 nucleotides) under Alcaligenes faecalis. RNAcentral describes it as "bacterial SSU rRNA". It matches the Rfam family "Bacterial small subunit ribosomal RNA", at positions 801 to 1496 of the family's 1533-position model. Lineage: Bacteria; Pseudomonadati; Pseudomonadota; Betaproteobacteria; Burkholderiales; Alcaligenaceae. The record is from RNAcentral.
CGUGAGUACUAGCUGUUGGGGCCGUUAGGCCUUAGUAGCGCAGCUAACGCGUGAAGUUGACCGCCUGGGGAGUACGGUCGCAAGAUUAAAACUCAAAGGAAUUGACGGGGACCCGCACAAGCGGUGGAUGAUGUGGAUUAAUUCGAUGCAACGCGAAAAACCUUACCUACCCUUGACAUGUCUGGAAAGCCGAAGAGAUUUGGCCGUGCUCGCAAGAGAACCGGAACACAGGUGCUGCAUGGCUGUCGUCAGCUCGUGUCGUGAGAUGUUGGGUUAAGUCCCGCAACGAGCGCAACCCUUGUCAUUAGUUGCUACGCAAGAGCACUCUAAUGAGACUGCCGGUGACAAACCGGAGGAAGGUGGGGAUGACGUCAAGUCCUCAUGGCCCUUAUGGGUAGGGCUUCACACGUCAUACAAUGGUCGGGACAGAGGGUCGCCAACCCGCGAGGGGGAGCCAAUCUCAGAAACCCGAUCGUAGUCCGGAUCGCAGUCUGCAACUCGACUGCGUGAAGUCGGAAUCGCUAGUAAUCGCGGAUCAGAAUGUCGCGGUGAAUACGUUCCCGGGUCUUGUACACACCGCCCGUCACACCAUGGGAGUGGGUUUCACCAGAAGUAGGUAGCCUAACCGCAAGGAGGGCGCUUACCACGGUGGGAUUCAUGACUGGGGUGAAGUCGAAAAGGG